This 375-nucleotide ribosomal RNA is filed under the name uncultured organism. RNAcentral's name for it is "partial 16S ribosomal RNA". It matches the Rfam family "Bacterial small subunit ribosomal RNA", at positions 527 to 896 of the family's 1533-position model. The record is from RNAcentral.
GUAGGUGGCAAGCGUUGUCCGGGAAUUAUUGGGGCGCAAAGCGCGCGCAGGUGGUUCUUUAAGUCUGAUGUGAAAGCCCCCCGGGCUCAACCGGGGAGGGUCAUUGGAAACUGGGGAACUUGAGUGCAGGAGAGGAAAGUGGAAUUCCACGUGUAGCGGUGAAAUGCGCAGAUAUGUGGAGGAACACCAGUGGCGAAGGCGACUUUCUGGCCUGUAACUGACACUGAGGCGCGAAAGCGUGGGGAGCAAACAGGAUUAGAUACCCUGGUAGUCCACGCCGUAAACGAUGAGUGCUAAGUGUUGGGGGGUUUCCGCCCCUCAGUGCUGCAGCUAACGCAUUAAGCACUCCGCCUGGGGAGUACGGUCGCAAGACUG